RNAcentral lists this ribosomal RNA (461 nucleotides) under uncultured bacterium. RNAcentral's name for it is "bacterial SSU rRNA". It matches the Rfam family "Bacterial small subunit ribosomal RNA", at positions 355 to 804 of the family's 1533-position model. The record is from RNAcentral.
UGGGGAAUUGUUCGCAAUGGGCGCAAGCCUGACGACGCAACGCCGCGUGGAGGAUGAAGGCCUUCGGGUCGUAAACUCCUUUCGAUCGAGACGAAUGGCCUCCGGGUGAACAAUCCGGAGGAGUGACGGUACCGAGAGAAGAAGCACCGGCUAACUCUGUGCCAGCAGCCGCGGUAAUACAGAGGGUGCGAGCGUUAAUCGGAAUUACUGGGCGUAAAGCGCACGUAGGUGGCGACGUAAGUCGGGUGUGAAAGCCCCGGGCUCAACCUGGGAAUUGCAUUCGAGACUGCAUUGCUGGAGUACGGAAGAGGAGGGCGGAAUUCCCGGUGUAGCGGUGAAAUGCGUAGAUAUCGGGAGGAACAUCAGUGGCGAAGGCGGCCCUCUGGUCCAGUACUGACACUCAAGUGCGAAAGCGUGGGGAGCGAAACAGGAUUAGAUACCCUUGUAGUCCCUGAGCGGGC